UUACUUGUAUUUGAUGAUCUUGUAUAUGCAUGUUCCCCUUAUUCUUUUUAUAUGUAAUAUAAUGCGUAAUUUUGUUCUAUCUUGGUGUGAUGUUGCAAUAUAUGUGAGAUAUAUUAGAACUAUUAGUGCAAGCAGUGUGGGCUACCAUUGUGGUACAUUUUCUGAUUGCAGGUAAUGUGCCCUUAGUGUAUAUUUUGUAUACUUUAUUUACUACUUUGCUUGGUUGGCCUAUGACACCUACUGAGUACAAUUGGACCGUACUCAUGCCUACUGCGCCCUUUUAGUGUAGGUCUUAGCUCGAGUGCACCUCAACUUGAUUGACUCGGGUGAUUUUGGAGCUUCCAAGGUAGCAGUUAGACAUUCAUACUUCCGAAGUUCACCUCUAUUUUUCUAUAGUAGUUAUGCCUUUAUUAGUCUUCGUAGAUAGUUAUUAUUCCUUUGUGGUCAUUUUUCUAAUGUAUUUGACUCUCGGAUUGUAUUAGUAGUUCUUACACUAUUGACACCUGAUUUUGGGCAUGAUUGGUAUUUUGGCUAAGUUUGUUACACAUUAUUUUGAUUGCUAUUAUGGUUCGGCUUGAUUCUAGAAGCCUUACCUUGGGAUAUUUCUGUCUUUUCCUCUUUUCGUAUCAGUUUGGGUAAUAGGCUUACUUGUCAAGGUAUGUCGUGAGAAGUAUCAUCAUGAGCCUCAUUUUUGGGUCAUGAAAACUUGGUAUCAGAGUAGUCAGGUUUCAUUGGUCUAAAUGGUGUAAGAAUGGGAUAUCUAAUAGAGUCUCGCAGAUUGAUACGUAGACAUUCGUAUCUAUCUUCGUGAGUCUAUAGGAUGUCUUUAGGAAAUGUCCCUCAUUUUACUCUUUAUCAUGCAAAGUUCUUUCAAACCUUGUGUUUUGAGUUGUGUUUCACUCUUUCUGCAUAGAUGGUGCUGUCUAGGUCUUACGAGAGUAGAGAGGCAAAGCCUUCUCCCAGAGGGCGAACCUCGAGUCGUGGAUGAACUCAACGGAGUGGAUGGACCCGCGGUGCAGCCCCAUCUAGGAAGAGUGCUAGGGGACUCUCUCUUGAGCCUCAUUUUGAAUAGGUUAGAGAUGUGGGUCCUACUCUAGUUCUUCAGAGUUUGUCUACCCUAGUGUUGGAGAGAUUGUUGGUAUGUUUGCUGACCCAUCUAAAGGGUUCUCAUUUGGUUAUGCCGGGUGUUCCUUCAGUUAAGAGUGUGAAUCCUCUUGUUGCACCUGCUUCUGGUUUGGGUACUCAGACCCCAAGUACUAUUCUAACUUCAGUGUCGAUAUCUAACUAUAAGGUUUUGAGAUCAGGAGUUCAGCCAUCAUCUGUGUUACCUCCUCAAGUGGGAUCUCAGCCAGUUGAACUUUCCAUGCCUCAUAUUCGUCAGUGAGCCAUGUCUCAGAUGAUUUUGUUUAGGGGUUCUUUUCAGAGUGUUAUGGAUCAUGUUAAGGUGACAAUGGAUAUUUCUCGGGUAUCUUACGGAGGAGCCAAGAGGGUGCAUCGUUUUGGAAAGUUCAGAGGUCAGACUCCACGAGGCAAAGAUUUUAAAGGUUCUCGUGGGUCUUCUAGUUCAGCAGUGCAGGGUGGAAGUCAGGGAAAGUUUAGAGUUUUCUAUGUAUGUGAUGAGACUGGCCAUAUAGCCAAGGACUGUCCUCACUGAGUGUUUAGAGCUACUUCUAUUUCAGCUGUGGAAGGUAGGGGUUUCACCGGAGGUGCGAGAGUUAGAGAUAGUGGAGGCCAUAAUGGUGGUCGUGGGGUUACUCAGCCAGUUCAUAGUCAUGGACAGUGUUAUGCUAUACCAUCCAGACCUGAGGUAGAGGCUUCUAAUGUUGUGAUUACAGGUACCUCCUUCGUGUGUUUCAGAUCUGCAUCUAUAUUAUUUAAUCUCAGAUUAACUUUCUCCUAUGUGACUGUGUAUUUUGCUUUGGGUUUUGAUUAUGUUAGUGAGCCUCUUGCUAUGUCUCUUCGUGUAUUUACCCCGGUAGGUGAUGUUUUAGUGGUGGAUCGAGCGUACCAAUCUUGUGUUGUGACUUUUGCCAGGCAUGAGACUUUGGUAGACUUACUUAUAUUAGACAUGGUCGAUUUUGAUGUUAUUUUAGGCAUGAAUUGGUUAUCUCCUUAUCAUGCUAUCUUAGAUUGUUUUGCUAAGGCUGUGACUUUAGCUUCGUGGGGUAUACCAAGGAUAGCUCGGAAAGGUACACUUUAUUCGAGUUAUAAGAGGGUCAUAUCUUAUGUUUAGGCUCAUAAAUUGGUUGAGAGGAGAUGUUUAUCUUACUUGGCUUAUAUUUGUGACACCAGUGUUAUUUUGUCUGCUUUCUUGGAUUCUGUCUGUGUUGUCCGUGAGUUUAUAAAUGUGUUCUCUACGGACUUGCCUAGUAUGCCUUCGGAUUGAGAUAUUGAUUUUAUUAUUGAUGUUGAGCCGGGCACCAAGACCAUUUCCAUUCCUCCUUAUAGGAUGGUCCCAACAGAGUUGAAGGAACUGGAGGAUCAGUUGUAUAAGAGAUUUAUUCAACCUAGUGUUUCACCUUGGGGUGCUCCUAUCUUUUUUGUAAAAAAAAAAAGAAUGGGUCU
This 2565-nucleotide long non-coding RNA is filed under the name Capsicum annuum. RNAcentral describes it as "long non-coding RNA (CANN_LNC022545)". The record is from RNAcentral. Lineage: Eukaryota; Viridiplantae; Streptophyta; Magnoliopsida; Solanales; Solanaceae.